Molecule: ribosomal RNA, 433 nt
Filed under: uncultured bacterium
Lineage: Bacteria
Description: partial 16S ribosomal RNA
Rfam family: Bacterial small subunit ribosomal RNA
Source: RNAcentral
AACGAACGCUGGCGGCAUGCCUAACACAUGCAAGUCGAACGAGACCUUCGGGUCUAGUGGCGCACGGGUGCGUAACGCGUGGGAACCUGCCCUUAGGUUCGGAAUAACUCCCCGAAAGGGGUGCUAAUACCGGAUAAUGUCUUCGGACCAAAGAUUUAUUGCCUUUGGUUGGGCCCGCGUUGGAUUAGCUAGUUGGUAGGGUAAAAGCCUACCAAGGCGACGAUCCAUAGCUGGUCUGAGAGGAUGAUCAGCCACACUGGGACUGAGACACGGCCCAGACUCCUACGGGAGGCGGCAGUGGGGGAUAUUGGAAAAUGGGGGAAAGCCUGAUCCAGCAAUGCCGCGUGAGUGAUGAAGGCCUUAGGGUUGUAAAGCUCUUUUACCCGGGAUGAUAAUGACAGUACCGGGAGAAUAAGCUACGGCUAACUCCGUG